UACGUAUGGAGCAAGCGUUAUCCGGAUUUACUGGGUGUAAAGGGUGCGUAGGUGGCGGUGCAAGUCAGAUGUGAAAGGCCGGGGCUCAACCCCGGAGCUGCAUUUGAAACUGCUCGGCUAGAGUACAGGAGAGGCAGGCGGAAUUCCUAGUGUAGCGGUGAAAUGCGUAGAUAUUAGGAGGAACACCAGUGGCGAAGGCGGCCUGCUGGACUGUUACUGACACUGAGGCACGAAAGCGUGGGGAGCAAACAGG
This 253-nucleotide ribosomal RNA is filed under the name Anaerobutyricum hallii. Its description in RNAcentral is "partial 16S ribosomal RNA". It matches the Rfam family "Bacterial small subunit ribosomal RNA", at positions 524 to 776 of the family's 1533-position model. Lineage: Bacteria; Bacillati; Bacillota; Clostridia; Lachnospirales; Lachnospiraceae. The record is from RNAcentral.